CUGAGCCAAACCAGCCAGGGCCAAUGGUUGAUUUUUAUAUAGGCAGACAUCAAAUUAAGGAAAGUUUUCUGCCCUUCUAAGGACUGAAGUUUGAGUAUACCAGUAAAUCCUUUCUUUGCCCUGUUUUAUCUGUCAUCAGUCCUAGUGAAGCCUCAGUUCUUGCUGGCAGUAAGAAUGUUCUUUUGCUUCUCGAUUCAGAAGCCUGCAAUGCAUCUGCUAUCUAUCUCAUGAAGUCAUAAGCCUCUUUAAAUCGACAUUCAGACCUCCCACUGCAUUCUCAGGCUGAAUGUGUUUGUUUUUCCUCCAGGUGAUUUGGCUAUUCCUUAAAGUACACACAGUGCCUAGAAGAGCAUUCCCACGAACAAUGUUUGCUUUGGCACUUUGCUCUUCCGUUUUGCCUGGUUUCAGAGUAUUAAGGAAUGACUUUAGUGUUCUUUUAGGUGCAGUAAGUGAUUUUUGAUAGCAAAGUGAUAAAAGGAAUGAUUACCUUUUCACAUUUAGGUAACUUGAUUAGAAGAUGGGGAGGUUCUAGCUAGGUUUUGGAUUUGAGAACUGCAAAACUAGCAGCAGAAUUCUGACUACAGGAGCAGGCUUAAAAAGUUGAGUAUUUAUGUGGAGUGUACCUUGAGUUAAAUAACAGUUGAAUGCACAAAUUUCUUACAUAACAGUUCUUAACCCUAUUUAAAGAAUUGCAAAAGUAUUUUUUAUUUAAUAGUGCAUGAAUUUGGAUGACCCAUUUUUGAUUGUUCAGAAUAUUUAACUA
Long non-coding RNA from Myotis brandtii (Brandt's bat), 763 nucleotides. RefSeq lists it as uncharacterized. NCBI's taxonomy places the organism in Eukaryota, Metazoa, Chordata, Mammalia, Chiroptera, Vespertilionidae. The record is from RefSeq and is a predicted model, not a curated record. The transcript has 2 exons.